This 916-nucleotide ribosomal RNA is filed under the name Neoscytalidium dimidiatum. RNAcentral describes it as "partial large subunit ribosomal RNA". It matches the Rfam family "Eukaryotic large subunit ribosomal RNA", at positions 48 to 984 of the family's 3401-position model. The record is from RNAcentral. Lineage: Eukaryota; Fungi; Ascomycota; Dothideomycetes; Botryosphaeriales; Botryosphaeriaceae.
CAUCGGGAGCAGACCAACAGGGAUUGCCUCAGUAACGGCGAGUGAAGCGGCAACAGCUCAAAUUUGAAAGCUGGCCCCCCCCGGGGGUCCGCGUUGUAAUUUGUAGAGGAUGAUUCGGCGAGGGCUCCCGCCUAAGUCCCCUGGAACGGGGCGUCAUAGAGGGUGAGAAUCCCGUAUGCGGUGGGCUGCCUUAGCCAUGUGAAUCUCCUUCGACGAGUCGAGUUGUUUGGGAAUGCAGCUCUAAAUGGGAGGUAAAUUUCUUCUAAAGCUAAAUACCGGCCAGAGACCGAUAGCGCACAAGUAGAGUGAUCGAAAGAUGAAAAGCACUUUGGAAAGAGAGUUAAAAAGUACGUGAAAUUGUUGAAAGGGAAGCGCUUGCAGCCAGACUUGCCCGCAGUUGCUCAGCCGGUCUCCUGACCGGCGCACUCUUCUGCGGCCAGGCCAGCAUCAGUUCGGGCGGUCGGAUAAAGGCCCCGGGAACGUAGCUCCUCUCGGGGAGUGUUAUAGCCCGGGGUGGAAUGCGGCCAGCCUGGACUGAGGAUCUCGCUUCGGCUAGGAUGCUGGCGUAAUGGCUGUAAGCGGCCCGUCUUGAAACACGGACCAAGGAGUCUAACAUCUAUGCGAGUGUUUGGGUGUCAAACCCAUGCGCGUAAUGAAAGUGAACGGAGGUGGGAACCCUCGCGGGUGCACCAUCGACCGAUCCUGAUGUCUUCGGAUGGAUUUGAGUAAGAGCAUAGCUGUUGGGACCCGAAAGAUGGUGAACUAUGCCUGAAUAGGGUGAAGCCAGAGGAAACUCUGGUGGAGGCUCGCAGCGGUUCUGACGUGCAAAUCGAUCGUCAAAUUUGGGUAUAGGGGCGAAAGACUAAUCGAACCAUCUAGUAGCUGGUGCUGCGGCUUUCCCCCCCCCAGAGAGAAA